GGAAGUAAAAGUCAUAACAAGGUUUCCGUAGGUGAACCUGCGGAAGGAUCAUUAUUGUAUAACCGAGGUGCGAGGGCUGUCGCUGACCCGAAAGGUCGUGCACGCCCGAGUGCCCUCACACACAUCCAUCUCACCCCUAUGUGCACCACCGCGUGGGUCCCCCUUUGGCUUGUUCGGAGGGGGGCUUACGUUUUCACACAAACUUUGUAUGCAGUGUAGAAUGUAUUUUUUGUUUUUGCGAUCACGCAAUCAAUACAACUUUCAACAACGGAUCUCUUGGCUCUC
Molecule: unclassified non-coding RNA, 285 nt
Filed under: plant metagenome
Description: partial contains small subunit ribosomal RNA, internal transcribed spacer 1, and 5.8S ribosomal RNA
Rfam family: Eukaryotic small subunit ribosomal RNA (bases 1-54)
Source: RNAcentral